RNAcentral lists this transfer RNA (76 nucleotides) under Paenarthrobacter sp. YJN-5. Its description in RNAcentral is "tRNA-Gln". It matches the Rfam family "tRNA". Rfam says of the family: Transfer RNA (tRNA) molecules are approximately 80 nucleotides in length. Lineage: Bacteria; Bacillati; Actinomycetota; Actinomycetes; Micrococcales; Micrococcaceae. The record is from RNAcentral.
UCCGCGCUGGUGUAACUGGCAGCACGCCGGUCUUUGGAACCGGAUGGUCGAGGUUCAAACCCUCGGCGCGGAGCCA